UUUCAGUCAAAUCCGUAUUUCUCAAACUCUGAGUUCAUAGUGAAAUUUUCUUGUAAUUGUUCACCAUUUUUCUUCUUCCUUCAAACGCAACUAGUUCGCUUGUAAUUGGAAACAGCUAUUCCAUAUUAUUACAGAAAUUGUAUCUUUAGGGUUUUGAAGCAGAACUCAAUCUUUAUUGUUCCAGCCACUCCUUUAGAGAGUAAUUAAGAGUUUCCUGUUUGGUGCUGGCAGGAGGGUGCGGCCUCCCUAUACCGCUGACGUCAAUUCCUAAAAGCAGCGCCCAGCCUGCGUGGCACACCCACAGGAUGUCUGAAGUUGUCCCUCCACCUUCAUAAACAUCAUUUUUUGCUUUUGAAGCCCACAGGUACAGCGCAGCCCUUGCUCUGCUUUCUGCAAACAAGACUGUUUUAAACCAAACUAGAUCUGUGAUCCAGUUCACGCAGUGGCCCCAGUAACAGUUGUACCAGCACAAUGAGUUCAGACUGGAGUGGAAACAAAUGGCUGGGAGGAGAGUGAGCUUCAGGAACUACUUGAGCUGCCAAAAAGCCACCCACGGAACAAUGGCCUCAGAAACUGCUUUUCAUAUACUAAGCUGCACAUUACUUAAUUGACCUGGGAGAUACAUGGUGCUAUGCCCACCACAUAACUAUACACUGAGAAACAUGAAUUCAAGCAAGAGUGGAGUUAAACUGUUCUUAGAAGUGCAAGUAAUGGGUCCAAAUCAACUGAUUAAAUAACUGGAAAACAAUCAUCACUAAAGCAAGAAAUUAUGCAUCUGAACCAUACAAGCAAUGAAAAAUGCACAGCUGAACUACAUAAGCAAUGGGUGAGAAACUCAAGAGUGCAAAAGGUAAGUCCUAAACCUGACCUUGACCUGUGUGACAAUCUCACAUUUUAGUGGAAAAACUUUUUGUAAACCAAAUAUUAACACUCAUUACAGAGUAUAGUAUCAUUAAACAACUAUCCAGAUCAAUUUUGCAUUUAAAAAGUGUUGAUAACUGAGGUUGUUU
Molecule: long non-coding RNA, 1010 nt
Organism: Columba livia (rock pigeon)
Lineage: Eukaryota; Metazoa; Chordata; Aves; Columbiformes; Columbidae
Exons: 3
Source: RefSeq, a predicted model, not a curated record